AGAUGAGUGGGUUUUUGUUUUUUUAAACAUUUUUGCAAAUUUCUUUAAUAUCCAGCUUAACAGAAAACAACCGGAUUUUCAUAUCUGCUUCUGCAUUCAAUUUAUUGUAUAAUACAUGUCAUGCCAACCCUGGAAACUUCACUGUCCUCUGAUAGGAGAACAAAGGCGAAACGGGCAAAUAACAUAUAAUUAUUAGUACAAAAAUUGCUUCGGCUUUGCAAAGCCCCUGAAAGGGUCUUAGGGACAUCCAGGCAUCCUGGGAUCAUACUUUGAGAACGAUGGCACUACACUUUACUGCCUCUGAGUACACAGGGAGAAUGUCUUGGUUGAAUUUUAAGUGUUCCUUAAGAAACAGUGUUUCUUCGAGUAAAUUCCAGCCUGCUGUGGUAGAAGGAGCAGAGGCUGAGUAGCCAGAGACAGGGGUGCAACCCUAGUUCUGUGCGUGGGAGCUCUUGACCUUCACUAAGUUCUCUCCAUCUCAGGUUCCUUAUCUUUAAAAUGAGGCUCAUUACCAAUCCCUUCCAGGGUCAUCACAGGCUUUCCAAAAAUUAUGUGAUAAGGUGCCUAACAGGUGCUGACACAAGAGGAUGUCUGACCAAGUGUAGCUUUUAUUUCAGAUAGACUAACGACGGCCAGGGAGGAAGGAGAGGGACCACGACCAGCAAAAACGGAAGGAGAAAAGAGCUACCAAGGACGGAUCCACAAACUCUCAGCUGGAAGCCUUUCAAGCCAGAGAAACAAGCCCUAAAGUUGCCUGAAGAUAAGUCCUGGCUAUGAAUUAAUGUUGAACAACAUGAAAAGAUUACAGGUAUUGAUCCUAAAAGCACGCCCCAGUAAGAGUCCUGCAUGUAAAUCUCCACCUCAGACCCUGUUUCUCAGGUAAGCAUACUUAAAACCACUGGUGCUAGGAAUGGUCCGAGGAAGGAGACUCUAAAAUGGAAUGUGGAGCUGGGUCACCAGCUGACUGGCCACCAGGGAGGACACCCUCACUAGGGGUGGGUGGGUGGAUUACCUACAGCCCCUGGCAGGCUGUAACUUUGCAAUUGCUGCAACCUUCACUGUGGUGUACCGGCUGGAAGGCAAUGCAUUGGUAGGUCUAGUAUCUGAGGUGUCUAGGGGUUCAGGGGAAGUGAUUAUAAGUACAGUAGAACUGGAUGGCUGUUUCUGAGUGCUAUAAAAGGAAUUAGAGAAAGCGGAUGAAAGGAUACAAUGAUUAAUCACCAAUUUAAGGCUAAGUGUGAAAGCCAGAGGGCCUAUGGCAGUUUAUAAAGAGAUUCUCAUCUCCGGCAGCCAGAAGUAGAAAAAAGCCAGGAUCAAGCCUAGAACUUAAUUAUAAGGCCAGGAGGGCUCCAGAGAAGGUUAAAUUUUUCACCCCCAGCAAGUGUGCUAUAUCAAGGUCAGGACCCUGACUGGGAACGAGUGAGAUGCCGAGACUUGGAAUAAGGAUAUAUGUGUUUCUGCACCAAAAAUCUCAAAUCCUCAGAUUCCCCUGAACCCUCUGGGCUCACUGCUCCCUAUUAAAAGCUAGUGCUACCGUUGCUUGAAGACAGUGCAGGAGGUUUUUCUUGCAAGAUGCAAGAAACAUUUCUUGCAGCAUGUUCUUAACUCAGGGUUGAUCCUAACUCCAUUCCUGGACACUAGGCCAGUAAACAGAAUGGGGAUCAGCAACUGCAUUCUCCUGGCCAAAUCCAGCCUGCAGUCUAUUUUGGUAAAUAAAGUUUUGGUGGAAUACAACCAUAUCCAUUCAAUGACACAUUGCCUAUGGCUGCCUUCCUGCUACAAUGGGAGAAUUGAGUAGUCAUGACGAAGUCCAUAUGGCCCACAAAACCUAAAAUGUUUAUGAUCGGGUUCUUUACAGGUAAAGUUUGCUGACCCCUGAACUAGAGUCAAGUACAAUGAAACUUGACAGGAGAAGUGCUGAUUAUGAUAAGGAAGGAAAAAAUAGACACCAAAGCAGAUACAACACUGAGUCAGCAAGUACUAGCAGGAGUGGAAGAAUAUAUAUGGGAUGAAUCCUGAAGGGCCUCGGUUAAGAAGGAUGCAAUAUAUAGUUGGAUACUGGAAACUCUAUCUACAUGGGAGCACUCCCCUGAGAUAGAGAAUUUAGCACUCUGCUUGGUUGACUCUUGGGGUCUCUUUGUUGACUCUUUUCUUUCUUAGAAAUGCAGUGAUCAACUAUAUGGAGGAGAUAUGUGAGAAAUGCCUUAGCAGACGAUGAAGAAAGAGAUCAAAAGGCUCAGAGAAGCAGGAAUGCUAUGGUGGAUAUGCAGUCAGCUCUCUGUAUCUGUGGGUUCAACCAACCUCGGACUGAAAAUAUUCAGUAUUUGGGAAAAAAGUGGCAUCCCAUACUGAACACGUACAUACAUUUUUUUCCUCCUUGUCGUGAUUCCGUAGUCAAUACAGUAUAGUGACUAUUUACAUAGCAUUCACAUGGUAUUAGGUAUUAUAAGUAAUCUAGAGGUGAUUUAAAGUGUAGGGGAGGGUGUGUGUAGGUUAUAUGCAAAUCCUAGGCUAUUUUAUAUCACAGACUUGAGUAUCUACAGAUUUUGGUAUCCAAGGAAGGUUCUGGAACCAAUCCUAUAUGGAUGCUGAAGGACAGCUGUACACUGGUUCUCCCUAUCCAUGGUUUUGCUUUCCACAGUUUGUUUACCCACAGUCAACUGUGGGCUGAAAAUAUUAAAUAGAAGAUUCCAGAAAGAAACAAUUCAUAAGAUUUAAAUUGCACAUUGUUCUGAGUAGUGUGAUGGAGUCUUGCACUGUCCCCCGCAGGAUUUGAACUGUCCUUUUAUCCAGUGGAUACACACUGUCUACACUUCCUUCCAGUUAGCCACUUCACCAUCUCGGUGAUCAGAUUGACCAUCCAAGUAUCACAGUGCUCGUGUUCAAGGCACCCCCAUUUUACCUAAUGCCCCAAAGCACAAGAGGGGUGAUACUGGCAAUUCAAAUAUGCCAAAGGGAAGCCAUAAAGUGCUUCCUUUAAGUGAAAAGGUGAAAGUUCUUAAGGAAAAAAAAAAUUGUAUGCUGAGGUUGCAAAGAUCCAUGGUAAGAACAAAUUUUUUACCUGUAAAAUUGUGAAGAAGGACAAAUAAAUUUACGCUAGUUUUGUGGUUAUACUCAAACUGCAAAAGUGCCACAGUGCAUGUAUAGGAAAAAACAUCAUGUGUAUGGGGCUUGGUACUAUUCACAGUUUCCGGCAUCCACCUGUGGGGUGGCCUUGGAACGUAUUUCCAAGGGGCAAUGUGUCAAUGAGAAACUCAAUGGUGGCUAUCCCCUCUAGGGGAGGGCUGAUACUGUAGACUGUGCUGGGGUUCUAUAGAACUGGGAUCUCUAAAAGCAAUGGGGAUGGUAAGAUCCCAGAUUGGUAGAGGCCAGGUGGCAGACCAUAGGUAGCAGACCAAGAAGGAUGCAAUUAUUAUCAUAAAUGGAAAGGUUGGAGUGGCAGCCAGGAGUCCUUACCCAUAGAGAGCUAUGGAGAUGGUUACUAGACCACAGUGUUAUUAAGGGUAAGAUACAGGGGCACAUAAGAAUAAUGCUAACACUUCACUGAAGAGUCAUGGCCAAUUUCCAGAUCCGAGACUGUCCUUUGACCCAGAACCUGUUGACUAGAGAAGUUGGUUUGAGGAGGGAGCCUGCUAUACUAUGGUAAGUGCAUAUGAUAACAAUUCCCCCAGUCUUUACUUGAAGGGAUCUGUGUUACUUGGUUAACUGUUCAAUGGGAAAAAGGGCAAUCCUAGAUAUUUCCAGGACUCUUGGGCAUGGUCCAAACUCCACUGAUCUUCAGGAAGUUUUGUUUCAUCCAGGCCCCUUGCUGAAGUGGGAACUUAUGAAGAGUGAGAAAUAAGUCCAGACCCAGUCGAUUUCACAAGGGAUUCUUUGGCUCCGUGGAUCCACCUGGUCAUUUCUUCAGUCUCUGGAUGUAUAAUUGAAAUCCAUAGUAGUCAGCAGAAUCUUCUCAUUAGUUCCUCGGUUUGUAGGGCCAACCAGUAUGGUCUGUAGUGAAGAGGGCUACAUAGAAGCCUCUGAAACUUUCUUACCAUGGCCAAGAGAAGAAAUAAAAACAAUAUGACAUCCAGGGAAACGGCCAAGAAAUCUGGCACUCUAAACAUGCUCAACACUACAAGUGGUCCCCAUCAUGUCCCCAUUUAAUUAUCAUUCUGUCCCCCUUCAGAACCAGGGGUCCUAAUAAUUGACAGCGGAUCUCCAGGAAGUCAAGUGAUUACUUAAUAUAUCUGUUACCACUACCCAAUGUCCAAGCUUCCAGCAACAGAAACCAACACUGAGCUCUUCAACAAACACAGUCCCCAGAGGACUAACCAACCACUUGUUAGCAACUUGAUUAUAUCGGAUCCCUUUUAAUCUGGAAAUGUCAGUAAUUGAUUUUGACUGGUAUUGACACAUAUUCCAGAGAUGGCUUUACCUUUCCUACCAACAGGGACCCAGGCAGCAUGACCCCUGCAGGCUUGCAGAUUAUAAGAUAAACUGACUUGGAAUCCUGCAUUACGUGACUGUGGACCACUGGCCCCAUUUUAUAGCAAAGGAAGAACAACAAUGGACAUAUGAUGAUAGGAUCUACUGGUCUCAUCCCAUAACACCAUCCAGAAACUGCCUAUCUACUAGAGUUUUUUUAGUUUUUUAGUUUUUUAAGCACAGCUAAAGUGCUAGCCUGCAGAUGAUGUGUUGUAAGGACAGGGUAGCAUUGAGCCAAUGUCCAUUAUAUAGUGCUAUGUUUCCAGUAGGUGGGAUUGAUGGCCUCAGGAAACAAUGAUUGGGGCCUGGUGUGGCUCAUGCCUGUAAUCCCAGCACUUUGGGAGGCCAA
Cercocebus atys (sooty mangabey) is the source of this 4816-nucleotide long non-coding RNA. RefSeq lists it as uncharacterized. The record is from RefSeq and is a predicted model, not a curated record. Lineage: Eukaryota; Metazoa; Chordata; Mammalia; Primates; Cercopithecidae. The transcript is spliced from 3 exons.